Molecule: ribosomal RNA, 750 nt
Filed under: Bacillus altitudinis
Lineage: Bacteria; Bacillati; Bacillota; Bacilli; Caryophanales; Bacillaceae
Also listed under: 1 other name
Description: partial 16S ribosomal RNA
Rfam family: Bacterial small subunit ribosomal RNA
Source: RNAcentral
CUCCCGGAUGUUAGCGGCGGACGGGUGAGUAACACGUGGGUAACCUGCCUGUAAGACUGGGAUAACUCCGGGAAACCGGAGCUAAUACCGGAUAGUUCCUUGAACCGCAUGGUUCAAGGAUGAAAGACGGUUUCGGCUGUCACUUACAGAUGGACCCGCGGCGCAUUAGCUAGUUGGUGAGGUAACGGCUCACCAAGGCGACGAUGCGUAGCCGACCUGAGAGGGUGAUCGGCCACACUGGGACUGAGACACGGCCCAGACUCCUACGGGAGGCAGCAGUAGGGAAUCUUCCGCAAUGGACGAAAGUCUGACGGAGCAACGCCGCGUGAGUGAUGAAGGUUUUCGGAUCGUAAAGCUCUGUUGUUAGGGAAGAACAAGUGCAAGAGUAACUGCUUGCACCUUGACGGUACCUAACCAGAAAGCCACGGCUAACUACGUGCCAGCAGCCGCGGUAAUACGUAGGUGGCAAGCGUUGUCCGGAAUUAUUGGGCGUAAAGGGCUCGCAGGCGGUUUCUUAAGUCUGAUGUGAAAGCCCCCGGCUCAACCGGGGAGGGUCAUUGGAAACUGGGAAACUUGAGUGCAGAAGAGGAGAGUGGAAUUCCACGUGUAGCGGUGAAAUGCGUAGAGAUGUGGAGGAACACCAGUGGCGAAGGCGACUCUCUGGUCUGUAACUGACGCUGAGGAGCGAAAGCGUGGGGAGCGAACAGGAUUAGAUACCCUGGUAGUCCACGCCGUAAACGAUGAGUGCUA